AGUGGCUCAUUCACCUUCUUAUGUCAGCCCCUUCGGGACGUGCUACAUAAACUUCGAAUGACGCACAACAAGGUGCCUGCCGUCCAGCUUCUGAUAACAGCAUUGCUUUAUCAGCCAUCGGGCGAAACGUCGAGUUAGGCACCGCCUU
Molecule: small RNA, 148 nt
Filed under: Citrobacter rodentium ICC168
Lineage: Bacteria; Pseudomonadati; Pseudomonadota; Gammaproteobacteria; Enterobacterales; Enterobacteriaceae
Description: Glm Y RNA activator of glmS mRNA
Rfam family: Glm Y RNA activator of glmS mRNA
About the family: This family consists of a number of bacterial RNA genes of around 167 bases in length. The function of this RNA is unknown.
Source: Rfam by way of RNAcentral